RNAcentral lists this long non-coding RNA (682 nucleotides) under Bos taurus (domestic cattle). Its description in RNAcentral is "long non-coding RNA NONBTAT024766". Lineage: Eukaryota; Metazoa; Chordata; Mammalia; Artiodactyla; Bovidae. The record is from RNAcentral.
UAGUUGAUUUGGUCUUUGAACAUUUAUUUCUUCCAAGGAAGUAGUUGUCCUUGAAUCCGCUUUCCUUAAGAACAUUUUGGGUAGUUAUAAGUGAUGGGACCCCCAUUAGAAAACCAUGUCAAUCCCAUAGGUCUUUAGCAACAUUCCAGUGGUCUUUUUAAGGGAGGAGGGGUUUACUCAUAAAAAUAUAUAAUCGAAAUACAGAAGGUAUCUCAAAUGUCACCUUUAAACAUAUAUGCAAAUGAGGUGGCCUUAGUGAUAAAACCGUAUUGCACAAAUGGUGUUUGUUUAUAUUUCACACUUCAUUACACAAAUAAAAUUUAGAUUAACAUUUUCUUUUUAAGCUCUUAUAUCAAAGAAAAAUUGGCAAUAGGGAUAAUUAACUCAAAACUUCACACUAGAAAAUAAUUUCUGGUAUAAAAUAUUUUCAGUGAAAAAGUUAGCCAGAAUUUCAUGUUUUGCUGUAAAAUAAGUGAAACAUCACAGUUCUUUGCUGCAGGGCAUGUGUCGGAAUAUGAAGCGUUAGCCAAGGGAAGAAGCAAAUUCCUGUUCCUUGUUUUGUGUCAAGAUUCUGUAAUUUGUGUGCACUUAGGCCAAAACUUAUUACUUGAGUUUUUUGAUAAUUAGUCAGAAAAUAAUAUACUAAUUAUGAAAGAACUUAGCUUUUCUAUGAAGUCAGUGA